UGUAAAAGCAAGGGUUGACCUGGUUUUCU
RNAcentral lists this non-coding RNA (29 nucleotides) under Rattus norvegicus (Norway rat). Lineage: Eukaryota; Metazoa; Chordata; Mammalia; Rodentia; Muridae. The record is from RNAcentral.